This 425-nucleotide ribosomal RNA is filed under the name uncultured bacterium. RNAcentral's name for it is "bacterial SSU rRNA". It matches the Rfam family "Bacterial small subunit ribosomal RNA", at positions 917 to 1345 of the family's 1533-position model. The record is from RNAcentral.
GGGCCCGCACAAGCGGUGGAGCAUGUGGUUUAAUUCGAUGAUACGCGAGGAACCUUACCAGGGCUUAAAUGUAGUGGGACAGGUCUAGAGAUAGACCCUUCUUCGGACUCAUUACAAGGUGCUGCAUGGUUGUCGUCAGCUCGUGCCGUGAGGUGUCAGGUUAAGUCCUAUAACGAGCGCAACCCCUAUCGUUAGUUGCCAGCGGGUCAUGCCGGGAACUCUAGCGAAACUGCCGGUGCAAACCGUGAGGAAGGUGGGGAUGACGUCAAAUCAUCACGGCCCUUACGUCCUGGGCUACACACGUGCUACAAUGGCCGGUACAGAGAGCAGCCACUACGCGAGUAGGAGCGAAUCUACAAAACCGGUCUCAGUUCGGAUCGCAGUCUGCAACUCGACUGCGUGAAGCUGGAAUCGCUAGUAAUCGG